This 253-nucleotide ribosomal RNA is filed under the name uncultured bacterium. RNAcentral describes it as "partial 16S ribosomal RNA". It matches the Rfam family "Bacterial small subunit ribosomal RNA", at positions 524 to 776 of the family's 1533-position model. The record is from RNAcentral.
UACGGAGGGGGCAAGCGUUAUUCGGAAUUAUUGGGCGUAAAGGGCGCGUAGGCGGCUAGAUGUGUCAAAGGUGAAAUCCCUCGGCUCAACUGAGGAACUGCCUUUGAAACUGUCUGGCUUGAGGCCGGGAGAGGGUAGCGGAAUUCCCAGUGUAGCGGUGAAAUGCGUAGAUAUUGGGAAGAACACCGGUGGCGAAAGCGCUCUGCUGGACCUGCACUGACACUGAGGGACGAAAGCUAGGGGAGCGAAAGGG